UGGUGCCAUGUGGACAGCCGGGUUUCAGAGGCAUCUCGACGGGUUGUUCAAGAAGAAGAAGAGAAAUUGAUAUUGCAGAAGAUCCCACUUCAGAAAAUGAUGGUGGAGAUAAUGGCAAAAUGUGGUUUAAAGAAUAUGAGUAAUGAUGUGGAGCGAUGCUUGUCCUUGUGCGCAGAAGAGAGAAUGCGUGGACUCAUAUCUAAUAUAAUUAGACUUUCAAAACAG
Molecule: long non-coding RNA, 225 nt
Organism: Salvia miltiorrhiza (redroot sage)
Lineage: Eukaryota; Viridiplantae; Streptophyta; Magnoliopsida; Lamiales; Lamiaceae
Exons: 3
Source: RefSeq, a predicted model, not a curated record